This is a long non-coding RNA of Gallus gallus (chicken), 3711 nucleotides long. RefSeq lists it as uncharacterized. NCBI's taxonomy places the organism in Eukaryota, Metazoa, Chordata, Aves, Galliformes, Phasianidae. The record is from RefSeq and is a predicted model, not a curated record. The transcript is spliced from 2 exons.
GGCCCCGCAGCGGGAGCGCUCGGCCCGGCCGGCCCGGGGCCGCUCUUCCCGCCCCUGCCCUCGGUGUCAACGUGGGGUUUUGUGCACAAGACAAAGCCCCCAGAUAAGGAAAACUUCGAGGCCAAGUGCUCGUUCCGGGUAAACAAUACGCGCUGUCCCUGCGGACCCGGGUGUCCUGCAAGAAAGAGCGGGCGGUGAUUUAUCUCUGGGAGCGUUUUUACGUUAAAUACAUUUCUCACACUCCCGGAGGUGCACGUGGAAAUAUUAUUCGUCACCUCUCCAGAUCACAUCCCAUGCACUCCUUUCUCGUACUGAUUACGAUCCUGCGGAAGAUCCGCGUCCCCCUUCCCCUCCCCGCUCCCCAGUUGCUGACACAGUAGGGCGAAGCACAAAAUCUUUCUAAAAGACAUCGAUGGUGUGGGCGAAACGAGAGGGAUUCCACAGGAGAAAGAGUAGGCCGGGGCACGGCUCCGUCUGGGGGUAACAUUCUCUUUUCAUUUGAACCUACUCGGUCAUGGAAGGAAUCGCAUUCGGGAUUAAUUUGUCGGGUAAUAUGAUAAGUGACGUUAAGCAGAAUAGAAAUAUAAUUGCGUUGCCAAAGUCACGCGUAAGUUGGGAUGGUGCGGACCGGGCACAGCGCACGAUAUAGAGGCAGCUUUCCAGAAAACGUGCCACGGAGAGCUUGGGGCUGAAAUGACGACUGCCUUAUUGUCACUGACAAUGGCACGCUGCAAACCGAGCUUGGCAAGGAGCGCUCAGGUCCUGCAGCAGCCGGGUGGGGGAAAAAAAAAAACCUCAUCCCCUUAAGCAAAAAAGUAUCGGGGCGCGGGAGACACCACGCGAUGUGCAGCCGAACCUGAAUCGUCAAAUACAAACAAAGCCCCUGCGCUCCCAUCAUGGCGUGUGAGGCGGAAGGGACCCGGAACAUUUGUAAAAGCUCCGGGCUUCGGGUUUUUUUUUAAUUUGUUGGCUGUUUUUAUCCCCUCGCGGAUCGUCACGAUCGAAUUUCGGAGGGGCGCAGCCCACCUCGCACUGGCUGUGAGCACGGGCACAUAAAGGAAAGCAUUCCAAAUAUUUCACAUGAAUGCACUUUAUGCAAGGUGGGUGGGAAAAGGCUCACGGCUCCGCGCUUCGAGCGUGUCCCUUCCUCCGGAAUACCCACUGACGGUCUCCGCUAACAUUUGCACAGAGGAUUGGUAAACACCUGGCAUCGGGGAGAGGUUAAAAAUAAGGUCUCGGAGAAAUUGAUGCGGGUCCGUAACCAAAUGCUGUCGGUAUACAGCGGUGCAUAUGCACGCACGCAUAUAAUCUAAUUACAGCUUCACGUAAGGCAACAAUUUGACCUUCAGCGUCUACGUUGAGACAACAAAUCAAGGAUAUUAGUGUAGUACAAGCAAGCAGUAAGUUAGGAGGCCCCAGGGAAAGCCAUCCUCGUAAGCGCUCCGGUUGUGCAACGUGAGUUACAAUCAGGUAAAGGCGGCUGCGGCGCGUUCUGCUUCCUCCGGAGUUGCAAAACGUUAAACUUCUCUUAACCCCGAGAGAGAGGCGCCGAGCAGCCCUCGUGCAGUCAGAGAGCAGCGGGGAGAGGGCAGCGCUUCCGCAGCCGCCCGGGUUGCAUUCUCGGAACGCCUCGGUAAAGAGGAGCCAGCCGAGCUGUAUUCCUUUCCCGAGAGAGGGUUUUCUUACGUGGGAACCCCACCCGCAGGGGAGAGGACACGGUGCGGUCCUUCCCAGGGCGGCCCGGGCACAGAUGUGCGGCGAUGCGGACGCUCAGAGUACUCCGGGCGACGGAGAAGCGCGGGACCCAACCCGCCAUGUUACCCCCCCACUUGUAGCUGCGCAAAACCGUUCUCUGCUCGGAAAUUGUGGCAUAAUCCCCCGUCUCCGGGAGUGGAUUAAGAAACGGUGGAACCAUAAAGGCCCCGCAGGAGUUUUCACAAUACAGCAAUUAAUCACCGAGAACGUUAAAGUGAAAAGUACAGACGCGCGGAAUUAUGUUUAAUAAACGCACGGCUCCGAUCGCGGCUCUGCCCUGAACCUGCCUCGCCGAUGUAGGUCACUUUCCCCAAGAAUUUAACCAUUUUCUGCUUCAGAGACUUCAAACAGUGAGGCCGUUAAAGAGCAGUAAAAGUUUGUUUACUUAAGAAAAACGCCGUCAUUAGGGGAUGAGCUCCGCCGGGCGAAGGCUGUACCUGUUCCGAUCCGGCUGCAAGCUGCGUGACCCGGGGCCGCUCCUUUCUUCUCGCAAAGGGGCCGAGAACGAAGAGAGGAACCCAGCUCCGCUUUGCCCCCCACCCCCCACCCCCGCCCAGAUGAGCUACUCACAGAGCGAUGGAAAAAUAAUUAGGUGACGAGUGAUGCUCGCUGUAAAACCUCUGCGCUAUGCUUAGGCGAUACGAUACGAAAUUAGGAUAGAUGUCAUGCAUAUUACAGCACGUCGGGUCGUAUCGUAAAAACGCGGCUCCUCGAAGGUCGGGCCGCAGCGAGCGUGGGGGGAAGGGGACUUUUAGGAACUGGAGGGCGAAAAAAAUCGUUUGGCUGUAAGCAGAUCUUACAAUAGGAUUAUGGAGUUUCCCUCGCAGUGCAUAAGGCAGUACAGGAGGGGGUGGGGGUGGAAAACCCGACACUGGAACAGAUUAAAUGUUCCAAAAGGGGCUUAUUUCUUAUCGGCCCUAGGAAAAAAAAAAAGAAAAAAGAAAAGAAAAAAAAAAAAGAGGAAAAAAAAGAAAGAAAAAAAAAAGAAAAAAGAAACAAACCAACCCAGCGCUACAGACCACAAACACCGGCUGCUAAACUAAUUAAUACAAGUUCACAAGCUGCUCCUGGAAGUGUGAAAACUUUCUACGUGUCAUUUCAUUAAUUAUAAAUGCUUUCCUGGCCGGAAGAGUUCAAAGACAGUUUUGCGAGAUCGUCCACCGAGUGACUUUAUUUCUGUUAGCCAGAACCAACAGACGCUCCCGACACACACGUCCCAAUUUCGCUUCACAGAUCUGCAAAUGACAUCUCAAACCGUACAGGCCGAAACAAUACCGGGGGUUCUUCUCUUUUUUCCCCUCCCGAGAUUCAGAACUUGCAGCUCCCCGUAUCUGCGAGCACACGGAGUCCGUGGAUGGCAAUGCUCAUUAAAUAUGUCAGUGUUAUUCAGAUCAAACAUUUGAAACUCCCUCUGCCCAAAACAAAACUGUUGAACGAAAAGGUCGCAGCUGUGUUAUUCUCACAACGUUCGACCGGCAGCAUCUCAGCGACAUCACUCAAAACUGACUAGACAAGUUGUAAGUCCUAUUGUUCACUUUUAAUUUGGGAGCUUGCACAAUGAUUUCAUUUUUAUCCCCCCCCCGCCCCAACUACAUCAAACUGCCAACAGGAAAGGGAAAAAAAUGAGAGAGAUCCACGCCCGUGGGAAGCAGCAGCAAUAGCUCUACCGCUCGGUAUGGUCACAGCUCUCCCCGCACAAACCCCACAGCCGCACAACCAGGGAAAAAAAGAAACCAUGGACGAGAAUUCCGAGGUUUGUUCUCGCUCACCUUUUUUCCCCCCCAUCCUCUCCCCCUCCCUCCAAGCGGUACAGAAGCAAACAAACUGGAGAAUUUAUUUUCCAGAAGGACUUGGCGUGCAUUCAACAACAACGCAAAGGACACAUUCAAAAGAAAAAAAAAAUAAAGCAAAACAGUAUGCUGAAUAAUACAGAGAGAGUAAAGAGAGCUUUCCAUA